UCAUCAGGUGUCCUGGAACGUCAGUCGGUUCACGGUUGGUGGUGUCUUGGGUUCGCUAGUGUUGCCCUAAUGUCUACGAGACACUGGCUAUUACAGAUUCGUGUAAAUUGUAAAUUGCAAUAUUGUGAUCUGGAGCAACAUCUUUCAUUUGAAGGACCAAAAUUUGGGAAAUUAUUUACUUAUGGGCUAAGAAAAGUAUACCUGUGAUGGAGAUUGCUACUGGUUAAAACGAUUAGAUCACAAGACCCAACGCCUAUUUAUUGACGUAUAUCCUAUCCCACCAAUCGCAGAAGCUACGUCACCUCUUUGCCCUUGAACGUGGUGAGGCGCUUAGUGUGUGAGAAAGUGAGACCACUUCAUUCCAGAGCCGUAUAUAGCUACGGCUCUGUGACUGUCUUCCUCAGUGCAGCCACGAACAUCAGAAGAUUCUUACAAUUGAGAAGAAGCGUCUGGACAUUAUUCCUCUUCUCCACUAAGGUCCUUCCCAGUUGCUCAUCGAACAUAAUGAGGUUCCUUCAAGUAAGCCUCGUGGCUCUGCUUUCCCUUGUCCUACUGGGAGAAGAUGUUGCUGGAGGUGCAAUCACAGCUCGCCUCAAACAUCAAUCUGGCGCUGGGGAGCCGUUACUAAGAGCAAGCUCGGACCCGCCACCCCUACCAGGACCUGAAUCUGAUCAAAUAUCAAUCGUUCCCGAAGCGGCCUUCAAUGAAGGGUCCCACGGCUGCAUAGGCGUUUGUCAGCUUAGGGACAACUUCGACUCCUGCCUGCCAGAUUCAAAGUGUUGUGAGGAGAAGUUCAAAGAUAGCGAUUACUUGGACUGCGUGAGAGGCAACAAAUAAUGCAAAGCAAUCCAUUUGCUGAUGUCUCUGGUUCUGUUCAAGAGAGAUCAGCUGGUAGUGUUGUAACUUACUUUCUUACUUAAUCUGUCACUUUUUGUUAGGGUUGGCCAAUAUGACCAACUGCCAUUGCACUAUAGGCUACUAAGGUACCAUGUUGCCUUCUCGUGACUUCCUUUUUGACACAUGACAAGACUAAGGCGUCUUUCAACUUCCCUCUCUCAUCCAGAAUUGGUAAUGUUUAAGUGUGUAGUCUAUACUCCUUUUUUUUUUUUAUCUGUCCAUCCGUCUGUGGUUGCGCAUGGUAACACUGCGUCCCGGGCUUUAAAUAGUUACGCUGUCUAAGUUUUAGGUAAAUAAAGGAUAUCUGGGUGUACAUUUGCAACUGAAAAGUGUUUUAAUAAUUUACUGUAUGCGAAUUACACCGAUAAUAUUCGAAAUACAAUAUUAUUUAAAGCCCGAUACGCAGUGUUACCAUGCGCAAAAACCACAGGCGGAUGGAUAAAUGGAAAAAAACAGAGUAUACAUACUAAAGGCAAAAUCCUACAAAAUCGUACACAAAGGUUAAGGCUGGGAAGGUGAUUAAGUCUCUUAUAAAGAAAACCUCAAUUUCAAAUAUAGUCAUAAUAACUGGCAACCCAUCAUAACCUUUAAUUUCAGUUAACAUUGUAACACGCCCUACAUACCUUUGAGCUUUCUCAUGAUAGUACUUGUGAAAUUCUUCCAAUAAAUUGUAUACUUCAAACCAUGGUUUGCUUGGUCAAUGAAAUCGAGUUUGGAUUCACUUUUGUCUUCUUAUAAAAUGUAUUUUCAACUCUUACAGUUUAACUAUAGGCUUAGUUCUAUGAUACAAAAAGUCACACUGUUUUCAUGAUAAAGAAUUUUUUAUUUUAUUUUCUUAAUGCAUAAAAGCUAUUUUCGGUUGUAUUUUCACAUGCGUAACAUUUUAACAUUACAUCGUUAAAAUGUCACGGUUGUUAGGUGAAACAAUUUCACAAAACAUAAAAUGUUUUUUUCUGAGCGUUGGAGUUUCCUCGUAAAUUGUGUUCUACAUAAGCGUAACAUUACUUCCUUCAUAUAUUGUAGUCUGUUUGAUUUAGAAUGCAAUAAAGGUGAGAAUGCUAA
Molecule: long non-coding RNA, 1959 nt
Organism: Macrobrachium nipponense
Lineage: Eukaryota; Metazoa; Arthropoda; Malacostraca; Decapoda; Palaemonidae
Exons: 4
Source: RefSeq, a predicted model, not a curated record